CAAUGGUCAAAGUUCUGCUACCUAGAAUCACCAUUUGGAAAGGGUACAUCACAGAGAAUGUAGAUAACGCAGUAUACGUAACACAUACUAUUCAUAAAUAAAAUUGACAUGUACAUGCCAGGAUGCUGGAACAGUUUGCAUAGUAGGGGUGCUGAGAGCCAUUGAACCAAACUGUAAACCCUAUAUAUGAUGGAAACCACUUCAAGCCAGGGGGUGCAGUGGCACCCCCAGACCCCCUAGUUCCAGCAUCUAUGCAUGGAGAUGAGUUGUGCUU
Molecule: long non-coding RNA, 274 nt
Organism: Dermochelys coriacea (leatherback sea turtle)
Lineage: Eukaryota; Metazoa; Chordata; Testudines; Dermochelyidae
Exons: 4
Source: RefSeq, a predicted model, not a curated record